AAGAGGGGAUGAGAACUGGGUGGUCACUAGACCAGCCUCUAAAUUAGGCAACCUAGGUUCGAAUUCUCAUGAUGCUGUCUCGCUAAGAUCUAGCAUCUAGCGUCGUGCAACGCAGGGUUUUCCUAGUGGAAAUGAUAAGCAACCCGAUGUAAUAGUUCGAGAUAGCACUAUAGCAGCGAUAACGAAAUAUGGAAAAGAGACCUUUUGACGAUUGCUGUUUGCACCCUAUAUUGAUCAUCCUAAUAUGGCUUUUUCCUAUUAAGCACAUGCACACGCCUACAUACAAAGAUUAUAUGAAAUGUUCUUUGAAAAUGAUGAAUGCUUUCGAGAUCCAUAUCACCACCUCAUCUCUUCUGAAUACAUGGUAACAUCUUUUGCAUGGGUAUCAAAUCGCUUUCAAGGGUUUUAAUUUCUCCUCCCAGCAGAAUAGCAGAUGCUGCGAUUUGAAGAGCCAUGCCUUUGCCACCAUACGAAAUGUUCAUAAGAAAUGACACUAUUUAAGACGUU
RNAcentral lists this long non-coding RNA (507 nucleotides) under Setaria viridis. RNAcentral describes it as "long non-coding RNA (SVIR_LNC003059)". Lineage: Eukaryota; Viridiplantae; Streptophyta; Magnoliopsida; Poales; Poaceae. The record is from RNAcentral.